This is a long non-coding RNA of Argentina anserina (silverweed cinquefoil), 296 nucleotides long. RefSeq lists it as uncharacterized. The record is from RefSeq and is a predicted model, not a curated record. NCBI's taxonomy places the organism in Eukaryota, Viridiplantae, Streptophyta, Magnoliopsida, Rosales, Rosaceae. The transcript is spliced from 3 exons.
AAACAGAACAUGCUCAUGAUAUAGACACAAUGAAUCCAAUUGCUUCUGACCAGGAGCCGCACGGUUCAAUUGGUGCAGUAGCUGGUCAUCGAGCCAUUUCUCAGAGUAAUACUGAGGAAAUUUCUGAAGCUUUGUUUCGAUACUCUGCACCAGAGGAGGUGAUGACUUUCUAAUCAACGUGUGGAACUUGUACUGCAAAGUGUGAGACUCAAAUGUUUGUCACCAACAUCCCAUACUUCCAACAAGUAAUUGUCAUGGCAUCCACUUGUGAGGCUUGUGGUUACCGCAAUUCUGAG